This 492-nucleotide ribosomal RNA is filed under the name uncultured bacterium. RNAcentral's name for it is "partial 16S ribosomal RNA". It matches the Rfam family "Bacterial small subunit ribosomal RNA", at positions 30 to 507 of the family's 1533-position model. The record is from RNAcentral.
AUUGAAUGCUGGCGGCAUGCUUUACACAUGCAAGUCGAACGGUAACAGGCCUUCGGGUGCUGACGAGUGGCGAACGGGUGAGUAAUGCAUCGGAACGUACCCAGAGGUGGGGGAUAACGCAGCGAAAGCUGUGCUAAUACCGCAUGUGAUCUGAGGAUGAAAGCGGGGGACCGAGCAGCAAUGUUUGGCCUCGCGCCUUUGGAGCGGCCGAUGUCGGAUUAGCUAGUUGGUGGGGUAAAGGCCUACCAAGGCGACGAUCCGUAGCUGGUCUGAGAGGACGACCGGCCACACUGGGACUGAGACACGGCCCAGACUCCUACGGGAAGCAGCAGUGGGGAAUUUUGGACAAUGGGCGCAAGCCUGAUCCAGCAAUGCCGCGUGCGGGAAGAAGGCCUUCGGGUUGUAAACCGCUUUUGGCAGGAACGAAACGGUGUCCGCUAAUACCGGGCGCUAAUGACGGUACCUGCAGAAUAAGCACCGGCUAACUACGUG